This 870-nucleotide ribosomal RNA is filed under the name uncultured anaerobic bacterium. RNAcentral describes it as "bacterial SSU rRNA". It matches the Rfam family "Bacterial small subunit ribosomal RNA", at positions 29 to 896 of the family's 1533-position model. The record is from RNAcentral.
AUUAACGCUAGCGGCAGGCCUAAUACAUGCAAGUCGAACGGCAGCGGACUCAGCAAUGGGUGCCGGCGAGUGGCGCACGGGUGCGUAACGCGUAUGCAAUCUACAUUUAACUGGGGGAUAGCCCCGAGAAAUCGGGAUUAAUACCCCAUAAUAUUGAGGAGGGACAUCCCAUUUCAAUUAAAGCUCCGGCGGUUUUAGAUGAGCAUGCGUGACAUUAGCUAGUUGGUGAGGUAACGGCUCACCAAGGCAACGAUGUCUUGGGGUUCUGAGAGGAUUUUCCCCCACACUGGUACUGAGACACGGACCAGACUCCUACGGGAGGCAGCAGUAAGGAAUAUUGGGCAAUGGGCGCAAGCCUGACCCAGCCAUGCCGCGUGAAGGAUGACGGCCCUAUGGGUUGUAAACUUCUUUUGUACGGGAAAAAACCACCGGUCGUGAACCGGUGCUGAUGGUACCGUAAGAAUAAGCAUCGGCUAACUCCGUGCCAGCAGCCGCGGUAAUACGGAGGAUGCAAGCGUUAUCCGGAUUCAUUGGGUUUAAAGGGUGCGCAGGCGGAAUGAUAAGUCAGUGGUGAAAUCCUACGGCUCAACUGUAGAACUGCCAUUGAUACUGUCAUUCUUGAGUACACUUGAAGUGGGCGGAAUGUGUCAUGUAGCGGUGAAAUGCUUAGAUAUGACACAGAACACCGAUCGCGAAGGCAGCUCACUAAAUUGUAACUGACGCCCAUGCACGAAAGCGUGGGGAUCAAACAGGAUUAGAUACCCUGGUAGUCCACGCUGUAAACGAUGAUUACUCGAUGUUGGCGAUAUACUGUCAGCGUCUAAGCGAAAGCAUUAAGUAAUCCACCUGGGGAGUACGGCCGCAAGGUUG